AUUGAACGCUGGCGGAAUGCUUUACACAUGCAAGUCGAACGGUAGAGGGGGCAACCCCUCGAGAGUGGCGAACGGGUGAGUAAUAUAUCGGAACGUGCCCAGUCGUGGGGGAUAACGUAGCGAAAGUUACACUAAUACCGCAUACGAUCUACGGGUGAAAGCGGGGGAUCGCAAGACCUCGCGCGAUUGGAGCGGCCGAUAUCAGAUUAGGUAGUUGGUGGGGUAAAGGCUCACCAAGCCAACGAUCUGUAGCUGGUCUGAGAGGACGACCAGCCACACUGGAACUGAGACACGGUCCAGACUCCUACGGGAGGCAGCAGUGGGGAAUUUUGGACAAUGGACGCAAGUCUGAUCCAGCCAUUCCGCGUGCAGGAUGAAGGCCCUCGGGUUGUAAACUGCUUUUGUACGGAACGAAAAGGUUUCCAUUAAUACUGGGAGCUCAUGACGGUACCGUAAGAAUAAGCACCGGCUAACUACGUGCCAGCCGCCGCAGUAA
This 496-nucleotide ribosomal RNA is filed under the name uncultured bacterium. RNAcentral describes it as "partial 16S ribosomal RNA". It matches the Rfam family "Bacterial small subunit ribosomal RNA", at positions 30 to 523 of the family's 1533-position model. The record is from RNAcentral.